This 585-nucleotide ribosomal RNA is filed under the name uncultured bacterium. Its description in RNAcentral is "partial 16S ribosomal RNA". It matches the Rfam family "Bacterial small subunit ribosomal RNA", at positions 355 to 1375 of the family's 1533-position model. The record is from RNAcentral.
UGGGGAAUUUUGGACAAUGGGCGAAAGCCUGAUCCAGCAAUGCCGCGUGUGUGAAGAAGGCCUUCGGGUUGUAAAGCACUUUUGUCCGGAAAGAAAUCCUUGGCUCUAAUACAGUCGGGGGAUGACGGUACCGGAAGAAUAAGCACCGGCUAACUACGUGCCAGCAGCCGCGGUAAUACGUAGGGUGCAAGCGUUAAUCGGAAUUACUGGGCGUAAAGCGUGCGCAGGCGGUUUGCUAAGACCGAUGUGAAAUCCCCGGGCUCAACCUGGGAACUGCAUUGGUGACUGGCAGGCUAGAGUAUGGCAGAGGGGGGUAGAAUUCCACGUGUAGUAGUGAAAUGCGUAGAGAUGUGGAGGAAUACCGAUGGCGAAGGCAGCCCCCUGGGCCAAUACUGACGCUCAUGCACGAAAGCGUGGGGAGCAAACAGGAUUAGAUACCCUGGUAGUCCACGCCCUAAACGAUGUCAACUAGUUGUUGGGGAUUCAUUUCCUUAGUAACGUAGCUAACGCGUGAAGUUGACCGCCUGGGGAGUACGGUCGCAAGAUUAAAACUCAAAGGAAUUGACGGGGUCAUAGCUGUUUCCU